Cebus imitator (Panamanian white-faced capuchin) is the source of this 276-nucleotide long non-coding RNA. RefSeq lists it as uncharacterized. The record is from RefSeq and is a predicted model, not a curated record. Lineage: Eukaryota; Metazoa; Chordata; Mammalia; Primates; Cebidae. The transcript has 2 exons.
CUGGAGGAGGUGGACCCGUUGCCCGUGCCCAAUAGCCCCGCGAUGAUGCAGCAAAUGCCUUCGGUGAAGAUGCCUCUGUAAGGAAAGGAAACUCAAAAGGACAGGGUUCAGAAAGCUUCUGGAUACUGAACACGUGGAGAUUCCUGGAGGGUGAUGCAUCAAUUGAGGGCAGCUCCGAGCCCAUUCCCCAUACCUUGCCCUGAGCAUCUCUUCAUCUGUAUCCUUUGUAACAUCCUUUAUCAGAAACUGGUAAACAUUUUUCUCUGAGCUCUAUGA